Triticum dicoccoides is the source of this 655-nucleotide long non-coding RNA. RefSeq lists it as uncharacterized. The transcript is spliced from 3 exons. NCBI's taxonomy places the organism in Eukaryota, Viridiplantae, Streptophyta, Magnoliopsida, Poales, Poaceae. The record is from RefSeq and is a predicted model, not a curated record.
GUAACUGAUAGUCUGUUGCUUUACUUCUACACUGCUUAAUUAACCUGCGAUUAAUUUUGAUAUUUGAUUUUUGGCAAGAAUCAUCGGACUAUAGAUUAUUGAUCAUGCAUGAAACGUUUUAAAGGAAGCGAAUCUACAUUUGCAUGCUCGGUUUGAAGACUUGCCAGCUGGGUGAAGAAGCUUUCUGACAAACAUCCAAAUCACUCUAAUAGGCCCAAGUUGAGCAUAUGUUAGAUGGUCUGGAUGACAUGGAUGGUGCCGAGGAUGUCCCUUUUGAUGAGCUCAUAGGCAUGCAAGGCUUAGUAUUUCACUUGGUUGAGAAUGCAAUUACAAUAUGUAUUACAUACAAGUCUGAUGGAUUCAAGAGAAUGAAGAGUAAAUAAUACUAUACUAUAAAUACGUCAACUACAGAUAACCCUCCCAACUACAAUGUUGCACCUGACAACCUCCUACUCAACGAGGCCAAGCUAUCUGCAGGGGACCAUGCCCCUGGACGUUCCUAAGAGGUGUGCUGCUAGAUGACCUUCUUGCUGCUGAAACAACAAAUGCUUGUAACUGCAGCUCCUGCUAACAUGCAAGCUGGAUGAGCACCGGGCAUAUUUGCUACGAUGAUGAACAAACAUGCAAAUGACUGCAGAAACAACAGCUGAUGGAG